Molecule: ribosomal RNA, 253 nt
Filed under: uncultured bacterium
Lineage: Bacteria
Description: partial 16S ribosomal RNA
Rfam family: Bacterial small subunit ribosomal RNA
Source: RNAcentral
UACGUAGGGUGCGAGCGUUGUCCGGAAUUAUUGGGCGUAAAGCGCUUGUAGGCGGCACGUCAAGUCGCGUGUGAAAUCCCCAGGCUUAACCUGGGAAGUGCGCGCGAAACUGACGAGCUUGAGUGCCGGAGAGGGUCGCGGAAUUCCCGGUGUAGAGGUGAAAUUCGUAGAUAUCGGGAGGAACACCAGUGGCGAAGGCGGCGACCUGGACGGACACUGACGCUGAGACGCGAAAGCGUGGGGAGCGAACAGG